UAUAUGUGGCCUUCUACUUCAAAAGUUAACAGUUUAUCAGAAAUUCCAAAUUCUAUCAGAGCACCCUUUAUACUGCGCAUGAUGCAACACGUCCUCACAGAAGAAAUAUUUCAGAAAGGCAUAAGGAGAUAUAUACAUCUCAACGUACAUUAUAUAGACUUUGUGGAACAUAUGAGACAAACUGCUUCAAGAAUAAAUCCAUUAGUAGAUAUAGGUAGUAUGGAUAAUUGGGCUUCGGAAAAGCAUUGUCCUAUUGUUAAAGUAGUACGAAAUUAUAGGAAUCCUAUAAGCCAAACAAAAGUAUGGAUACAAUAUAUCGACUUAU
Molecule: non-coding RNA, 325 nt
Organism: Nylanderia fulva
Lineage: Eukaryota; Metazoa; Arthropoda; Insecta; Hymenoptera; Formicidae
Source: RefSeq, a predicted model, not a curated record